Molecule: ribosomal RNA, 407 nt
Filed under: uncultured bacterium
Lineage: Bacteria
Description: partial 16S ribosomal RNA
Rfam family: Bacterial small subunit ribosomal RNA
Source: RNAcentral
AUUGAACGCUGGCGGCAGGCCUAACACAUGCAAGUCGAGCGGAGCGGCGGACGGGUGAGUAAUGCCUAGGAAUCUGCCUGGUAGUGAGGGAUAACGUACGGAAACGGGCGCUAAUACCACAUACUUUCAGAUGAGCCUAGGGCGGAUUAGCUAGUUGGUGGGGUAAAGGCCUACCAAGGCGACGAUCCGUAACUGGUCUGAGAGGAUGAUCAGUCACACUGGAACUGAGACACGGCCCAGACUCCUACGGGAGGCAGCAGUGGGGAAUAUUGGACAAUGGGCGAAAGCCUGAUCCAGCCAUGCCGCGUGUGUGAAGAAGGUUUUCGGAUUGUAAAGCACUUUUAGUUGGGAGGCGUUACCAACAGAAUAAGCACCGGCUAACUUCGUGCCAGCAGCCGCGGUAAUAC